UAAUAUUAAAAAGUUAUUUAAUUCGUAUAAUAAGGCAAAAAAAAAUUUACCUUCGGAGAGAUAAUAAAAAUAGUCUGGAGUUUAAUUAAAUCCUGGUUCUGUUUAUGAUUCUAGACAUUUUUAUAUCAUGUAAAAAAUUACUUCUCUUUGUUAUAAAAUAAAGGACGAGUUAAAAAUAUUAUUCCAUAGACCGUAUACAAUUACAAAAAUCGCAGUGGGGUGGAUGGUUGGAUGGUCCUCCUCCUACCAUUUGCCAUUAAAAGAUCAUUAUUCUCCCACACUUCCACUAGACGAGCAAUAAUAAGAGCACCGAUAUCCAUGUGUUCUUUCUUACUUGUCAAAAAAAAUCUCACAAACAAUCUUGUACCAAAUCCGAUAACGCUACAAGAAAACGACCGACAAACUAACUAGUCGAUCCAAACCGUCUUCUCAAAAUUAAUUCGAUAGUAAAAUCACGUGCCCUAAAAAUUAAUUCGAUAAGAAAAAAAUGGUUUGGUUAGGUUUAGCCAUUUGCGAUAAUAAGGACAUGUGCCCUACAUAAACAUCACACAUGUGACAUGUCUAAGAUCAUCUUAAAUGUGUAUAACCAAGUAAAAAAAAUGGAUGGAAUCAUUAGAUGCGUCCACUUAAUCUGAAACGUCCAAUCGGAUGCAACAGAUCUUUAUUUAACAAAUAUAAAAAUACAGUUAGGACCAUAUGGAUGCAACCAAUCCUAACUCUCAAUAGAAAAUAACGAAUGAAUUUAUAAUAAACCAAUGAUGAGUAAAUAAAUUCGAUUUUUUCACAUCAAUUCAGGUUAAAAAUUCGAUAAAUUAACAAAUAUAAAAAUCAUUAGAUAUCUUUUGAACAAUUAAAAAUUCGACGUCAUCUAAUCCUAAUUCUCAAUAAAUAAUAAUUAAUUAAUUAACUAAAUGAUGGGCAAAUAAAUUCGAUUUUUUCACAUUAAUUCGAGUUAAAAAUUGGAUAAAUUAAAUAAAAAAAUUCGAAAAAAAUAAUGGAUAAAUUAAAUUUUUUCCAUAAGUUUCGAAGAUUUAUUACAUCAUCAUUAUGUCAUGUACGUAUAAAUCAUGUAAUCAUCAUUACAUCAACAACUAACAGCUGCCAAAAUAUUAGUUGGCUUGUAACAUCACGUUAUAACUUGUAAUCAUAGGUGGCGGGGACCCAUCUUACAGUAACUAAAAUUAAUGGCGACCCUCCAAUAAUAUUACAGUUUUUUUUUUGGGUAAAUUAAUAAUAUUACAGUUAGACUUAGAAUUAUGAAUGGACAUGUGUCCAGUUUGGCUCACGUUUUUACUGACACGAACCAGAGUUUUGAAAUCGGGUUCGGGUCAAAUCCCGAAAACAUCUAAAAUUAUAAAACCUGGAUUCGAUUUGGAUGUCUGGUUUGGCGAAAAGAGAGAAGAUGAAAAUGAUAAUAAUAUUAAAGUUUAUAUUUUAAAAGGAGACGAAAAAUUUGUUAAAUGUGUAAAUUAAAGUUUUAAAAAAUUAUAUAUAAUAAAAUUUUAUUUAUAAUUUUCUUCGGGUUUUGUGUGUGAUGGAAAAAAUCGAAUGAAAAAAACUCAGGUUCGAGUCUUUGAUAUCGGGUUUCAUAAUCGAAAAUAUUCACCCAAACCCGAACAUGCCAACCCAUGGGUUUGAUCCAUGCCAACCCACCUUUACUUAGAAUAUCACCACUCACCAGAUUUCAACUGUUUAAAUUGAAUGGUUGAGAUAUACUGUUCAUAAACAGAACAGUCCCACCAACCGAUGUUUACAUCUUACCCGAUAGUCAGAACCAAGUACCACAAUCAAAAAGAAAGAAAAAAAGAAAAGAGUAUACCUACUUAAUUUUUACCCAGAUUUCGAAAACCCGAGUAGAAUAGUACCCGGUAGAUCUACUGACUUAAUUUUUACCCAGAUUUAGAAAACCUGGGGCUAUAAAUACCCGGUCGGGAUCCAAGAUUAUUCACAAUCAUCCAAUAUCGAUCUUUUUUCCAGUGAGAGGUAUUUGAUCAAGCUAUAAUGGCGGCCAGAGUUGAUUUGGAUGGGCGUCCGAUCAAGCCGAUGACGAUAUGCAUGAUCGGAGCCGGUGGGUUCAUUGGAUCUCACCUCUGUGAGAAGUUGAUGUUCGAGACGUCUCACACCGUCAUCGGUGUUGAUGUCUACAAUGACAAGAUCUUGCACCUUCUCGAACCUGCCGAGAAGGAAGAUUGUGCUUGGUUCGGGAGGAUCCAAUUCCACCGGAUGAACAUCAAGCAUGACUCUCGUCUGGAGGCGCUUAUCAAGAUGUCGGAUUUGGUCAUCAAUCUCGCUGCAAUUUGCACUCCGGCGGAUUACAACACCCGUCCACUCGACACUAUCUACAGUAACUUCAUCGACGCACUUCCCGUCGUGAAGUACUGUGGACAGUACAGUAAGAGACUCAUUCACUUCUCAACCUGCGAGGUUUAUGGUAAGACCGUCGGAAGCUUUCUUCCCAAAGAUCAUCCUCUCCGAGAAGAGGCGGAGUUUUAUGUUCUCAACGAAGAGGAAACUCCAUGCAUAUUUGGGUCUAUUCAGAAGCAGAGAUGGUCGUAUGCAUGUGCAAAACAACUCAUCGAAAGAUUGAUCUACGGUACAAUACUAUAAACUCUAAAUAUAAAACACAUAUCUGGAAUUUGAGCGUCAUAUAUAUAAUUAUUUUGCAGCCGAGGGGGCGGAGAACGGUCUUAAGUUCUCCAUCGUCAGACCCUUCAACUGGAUCGGCCCGAGAAUGGAUUUCAUUCCCGGAAUCGAUGGACCAAGCGAGGGUGUUCCUAGGGUUUUGGCUUGCUUCAGCAACGUAAUUAUUAAUCACUACUUACUUACUAAUUAAGUGGUAAAAAAAAAUGGUAAUUUGAAUUUGAAUUUCUACAGAACCUGUUAAGAGGCGAGCCACUGAAGCUGGUUGACGGUGGAGAGUCGCAAAGGACGUUCAUAUACAUCAAGGACGCCAUCGAAGCCGUGACUCUGAUGAUCGAGAACCCCGACCGGGCAAACGGAC
This 3001-nucleotide long non-coding RNA is filed under the name Zostera marina. RNAcentral's name for it is "long non-coding RNA (ZMAR_LNC002939)". Lineage: Eukaryota; Viridiplantae; Streptophyta; Magnoliopsida; Alismatales; Zosteraceae. The record is from RNAcentral.